AUAUAAACUGUCUUAAAAAUAAAUUAUUGAAUUUAAUUUUUUAAUUAAAAAGUUAAAAUAUGUUAAAAAGACGAGAAGACCCUAUAGAGUUUUAUAUUUAAUUAAAUUUAAAUUAUAUGUUAAUUAAUAAAUUAUAGAUUUUUUUUAAUAUUUUAUUGGGGUGAUAAAAAAAUAAAAAAAACUUUUUUUUAAAUUAAACGUAAAUAAAUGAAUUUAUGAUCCAAUUAUAUUGAUUAAAAGAAAAAAUUACCUUAGGGAUAACAGCGUAAUUUUUUUUUUU
This 280-nucleotide ribosomal RNA is filed under the name Loepa katinka. RNAcentral describes it as "partial 16S ribosomal RNA". Lineage: Eukaryota; Metazoa; Arthropoda; Insecta; Lepidoptera; Saturniidae. The record is from RNAcentral.